GAAAUGCGAUAAGUAAUGUGAAUGGCAGAAUUCAGUGAAUCAUCGAAUCUUUGAACGCACAUUGCGCCCGCCAGCACUCUGGCGGGCAUGCCUGUUCGAGCGUCAUUUCAACCCUCAGAACCCCUUGCGGGAUCUGGCGUUGGGGAUUGGCAUCCAGCCAGCCCCGAAAUCUAGCGGCGGUCCCUCCGCGACCUCCCCUGUGCAGUAGCGAUACCUCGCAGCGGGACAGCGGUCUGACCACGCCGUAAAACCCCCAACUUCUCAAGGUUGACCUCGAAUCAGGUAGGAAUACCCACUGAACUUAAGC
Molecule: unclassified non-coding RNA, 307 nt
Filed under: plant metagenome
Description: partial contains 5.8S ribosomal RNA, internal transcribed spacer 2, and large subunit ribosomal RNA
Rfam family: 5.8S ribosomal RNA (bases 1-105)
Source: RNAcentral